UGGGGAAUAUUGCGCAAUGGGCGAAAGCCUGACGCAGCGACGCCGCGUGAGGGAUGAAGGUUUUCGGAUCGUAAACCUCUGUCAGAAGGGAAGAAACUACGUUGUGCUAAUCAGCAGCGUACUGACGGUACCUUCAAAGGAAGCACCGGCUAACUCCGUGCCAGCAGCCGCGGUAAUACGGAGGGUGCCAGCGUUAAUCGGAAUUACUGGGCGUACAGCGCACGUAGGCUGUAGUGUAAGUCAGGGGUGAAAUCCCACGGCUCAACCGUGGAACUGCCCUGGAUACUGCACAACUUGAAUCCGGGAGAGGGUGGCGGAAUUCCAGGUGGAGGAGUGAAAUCCGUAGAUAUCUGGAGGAACAGCAGUGGCGAAGGCGGCCACCUGGACCGGUAUUGACGCUGAGGUGCGAAAGCGUGGGGAGCAAACA
Molecule: ribosomal RNA, 427 nt
Filed under: uncultured prokaryote
Description: bacterial SSU rRNA
Rfam family: Bacterial small subunit ribosomal RNA
Source: RNAcentral